GCGUGGAAGAGGAACAAAAGAGGGCCUAAGAGCAGUGGGAAUGGGAACAUGGAGGAAGGCCUAAAUUUCAUUUUUGAGUCUUCCUGAUGCCUCCCAUUCCUAUCGUUCUUAGGUGCUCAUUCCUCUUCCUUCUGGCA
This 137-nucleotide microRNA precursor is filed under the name Dichanthelium oligosanthes. RNAcentral describes it as "MIR2118 microRNA precursor family". It matches the Rfam family "MIR2118 microRNA precursor family". The record is from Rfam by way of RNAcentral. Lineage: Eukaryota; Viridiplantae; Streptophyta; Magnoliopsida; Poales; Poaceae.